This 631-nucleotide ribosomal RNA is filed under the name uncultured bacterium. Its description in RNAcentral is "bacterial SSU rRNA". It matches the Rfam family "Bacterial small subunit ribosomal RNA", at positions 232 to 873 of the family's 1533-position model. The record is from RNAcentral.
CGCGGCCUAUCAGCUUGUUGGUGGGGUGAUGGCCUACCAAGGCGACGACGGGUAGCCGGCCUGAGAGGGCGACCGGCCACACUGGGACUGAGACACGGCCCAGACUCCUACGGGAGGCAGCAGUGGGGAAUAUUGCACAAUGGGCGGAAGCCUGAUGCAGCGACGCCGCGUGAGGGAUGACGGCCUUCGGGUUGUAAACCUCUUUCAGCAGGGACGAAGCGAGAGUGACGGUACCUGCAGAAGAAGCGCCGGCCAACUACGUGCCAGCAGCCGCGGUAAGACGUAGGGCGCGAGCGUUGUCCGGAUUUAUUGGGCGUAAAGAGCUCGUAGGCGGCUUGUCGCGUCGAAUGUGAAAACCCACGGCUCAACUGUGGGCUUGCAUUCGAUACGGGCAGGCUAGAGUUCGGUAGGGGAGACUGGAAUUCCUGGUGUAGCGGUGAAAUGCGCAGAUAUCAGGAGGAACACCGGUGGCGAAGGCGGGUCUCUGGGCCGAUACUGACGCUGAGGAGCGAAAGCGUGGGGAGCGAACAGGAUUAGAUACCCUGGUAGUCCACGCUGUAAACGUUGGGCGCUAGGUGUGGGGGGCCUCUCCGGUUCUCUGUGCCGCAGCUAACGCAUUAAGCGCCCCGCC